UCUUCAUGUUGGGAUUCCUCACUCUGAGUGAAUCAGAUAGUUGAAAUGAUAUUUUUGCUGGCAUGUAAAGUUUGUGUUUCUCUUUUUUAGGACUGUUGCCCAGUUUGACAGCUUGAAAGCUUUCACUCGAAUGGAUCAAUCACACUUCUAUCUGAAACCCCUGGCUUCUCUGUUUGCUUGUCCUGCGCAAUCUCUGGUUCUUCACAAGGCCGAGAUCAGAGAAGAAGGAAACAGUGGUGCUACAAUUUUGUCUCUGAAUUCAAGUCAGCCUGGGGGAUUCCUUUGAGUAUGUGCAGCAAAGCCUUGAAGAGAGCCUGACUAUCGAUUCAAGAUGUCAUCAAGAAACUAACACACAACACCGCGCUACUCCAGCACUUGAGAACCAUUCCUCAGUAGGCAGCUAAUUCAACACUGCUGUGGCUGUCUUAACUCUUCUGCUGCACAAUCUCUUUUUGAUUCAUCACAAUGUGAAGCUUAGCUUAUGCAGCUUGCUGAAUGCAUUCGUAAUCUUCUUGUCUAAUUAAAGGCUUGGAUAUAUUAGAGUCUUCAUGAAUCUUCAUGAAAGAAUACGCUUUUGUGUCCUGUUGUCAAACUGGUAAAUUUCUGUUGCCAGAAUGGUUUGCUUUUGCAAAGGGAAACAGCUGUUAUGAUGGAGACAGCGGUGGCGCAUUGAUUGCACAAUACGUGUCUCAACUCAACUCAGCCUUUUCGCUGUUCCUACAUCUCUCUGAAUCUUCCUGUAUUUCACUUCAGCUUCUCCGGUUCUGAAGAAAAGCAAAGUUGGACGACAAGGCAGUGCUUUUGUGUGUUGAAGAAUCCCUCCCAGCUUUUUAUGGUAGUGGGACGGCCACAUGCUGACUGGAUGUGAAGGAGUCCGAAGGAGACCGGUGCAGCUCCUUAUGUAGAUCAGGGGAGAAUGAAACAGUGGUGCCAUUACUUUGUCUUCAAAUUCAAGUCAUCCUGAAGGAUUUCUUUGAGCAAGUGCAGCAAGGCCCUGAAGAGUGCCUGGCCAUUGAUUCCUGAAGAACUUUUCACAUGAGACCAGCACUACUUCAGCAGUAAUAUGCUGAUGUGAUGGAUUACGAGAAUGGUUUCAGACUUUGGAGUUGGGAGGGCUGCUGAGUGUGUUUGUCAACUUUUGGUGAGUCUGUUCCUUGUUGAGUCUGUGACUGAAUGUACGUGGUGCUACAUAUGUACACAAUUGU
This 1205-nucleotide long non-coding RNA is filed under the name Thrips palmi. RNAcentral describes it as "uncharacterized LOC117653433, transcript variant X2". Lineage: Eukaryota; Metazoa; Arthropoda; Insecta; Thysanoptera; Thripidae. The record is from RNAcentral.